UCCAAAUUACUUUGAGAGAAAUUUCAGAUAGAAAUAAGAUCUUGAGUGUGAGGAGGAAGUUCUGUAAAAGAAAGAGAGAAAGUUGGUGAAAAACAAGAGAGAAAACGAAGGAGAGGCAAAAGCUUGACGGAAAGCGGAUAGCUGCAAAGAUCUACUGUAACAGUCUUCCAAUUGGAGAGUUAAGUCUGAUUUCUUUCCAUAAUCAUGUAGCGAACUGAAAUAAGAGUCCGUAGGUUCAAACGGAAGUCAAUUCGGAGUUAAAAUGAGAGAGAUAUGGCAAAAAUACGAAAGGGUGUCGAAUCUGCCUCCAAGGCGCGAAAAUGGGCGCCACCUCUUCUUGGGGCGCGUGGAAGCCCCUUUUUCCAUGAGAUUUCACAUAAAUACAAACCCGGUAAGGUGUGAAGCCUUAAACAUUCAAAUCUUGUCCAACUAAGUUGAGGACCGGAGCUCGAUAGCGCUACGUAUGAGGGUUCUUACCCCUGCAAGUUGGUGGAACCUCUCAUGUCUGCAUAUGUUAUGUUAUGUUAUGUCAUGACUUGUUUAAAUACAUAUGAUGGUUCUCUUGUACUUACUGAGACUCGCAAGAAUCUCAUCCCAUAUUUUUCUCCCCCAGGUGAUUAUGAAUGAGGAGAUCGGAACGUGGACGUGGAGUGUGGUGGCUAUUUGAAGAUAAUUUUUAAUAGUCGAAAAGAUGUUUCUCUCUUCUUGUAUUAGAAAUAUUUUCAAUAUUUCACUCUUAUGAUAGAUGUACACUAUUGCUACACCAUAUGUCCUUAAAGCUUAUAUAAGUUUAUGAAAAG
Long non-coding RNA from Diospyros lotus (date-plum), 800 nucleotides. RefSeq lists it as uncharacterized. NCBI's taxonomy places the organism in Eukaryota, Viridiplantae, Streptophyta, Magnoliopsida, Ericales, Ebenaceae. The transcript has 3 exons. The record is from RefSeq and is a predicted model, not a curated record.